Molecule: ribosomal RNA, 206 nt
Filed under: uncultured bacterium
Lineage: Bacteria
Description: partial 16S ribosomal RNA
Rfam family: Bacterial small subunit ribosomal RNA
Source: RNAcentral
UGUGUAGGUGGUUUCGUUAGUCUUCUGUCAAAACCUUGGGCUCAACCCAAGACUUGCAGUGGAAACGGCGAGACUCGAGGAUGCGAGAGGUGAAUGGAACUCAUGGAGUAGGGGUGAAAUCCGUUGAUAUCAUGGGGAACACCAAAUGCGAAGGCAAUUCACUGGCGCAUUCCUGACACUGAAACACGAAAGCGUGGGUAGCAACG